GAUGAACGCUGGCGGCGUGCCUAAUACAUGCAAGUCGAGCGAACGGACGAGAAGCUUGCUUCUCUGAUGUUAGCGGCGGACGGGUGAGUAACACGUGGAUAACCUACCUAUAAGACUGGGAUAACUUCGGGAAACCGUAGCUAAUACCGGAUAAUAUUUCGCACCUCAUGGUUCAAAAGUGAAAGACGGUCUUGCUGUCACUUAUAGAUGGAUCCGCGCUGCAUUAGCUAGUUGGUAAGGUAACGGCUUACCAAGGCAACGAUGCAUAGCCGACCUGAGAGGGUGAAGGGCCAGACUGGAAGUGAGAAACGGUCCAGACUCCGAGGGGAGGAAGCAGUAGGGAAUCUUCCGCAAAGGGCGAAAGCCUGACGGAGCAACGCCGCGUGAGUGAUGAAGGUCUUCGGAUCGUAAAACUCUGUUAUUAGUGAAGAACAUAUGUGUAAGUAACUGUGCACAUCUUGACGGUACCUAAUCAGAAAGCCACGGCUAACUACGUG
RNAcentral lists this ribosomal RNA (497 nucleotides) under uncultured bacterium. RNAcentral describes it as "partial 16S ribosomal RNA". It matches the Rfam family "Bacterial small subunit ribosomal RNA", at positions 28 to 507 of the family's 1533-position model. The record is from RNAcentral.